UGCUGUGAGCUCGAUGAGUAGGGCGGGACACGUGGUAUCCUGUCUGAAUAUGGGGGGACCAUCCUCCAAGGCUAAAUACUCCUGACUGACCGAUAGUGAACCAGUACCGUGAGGGAAAGGCGAAAAGAACCCCGGCGAGGGGAGUGAAAAAGAACCUGAAACCGUGUACGUACAAGCAGUGGGAGCACCCUUUUGGGUGUGACUGCGUACCUUUUGUAUAAUGGGUCAGCGACUUAUAUUCUGUAGCAAGGUUAACCGAAUAGGGGAGCCGGAGGGAAACCGAGUCUUAAUUGGGCGUUAAGUUGCAGGGUAUAGACCCGAAACCCGGUGAUCUAGCCAUGGGCAGGUUGAAGGUUGGGUAACACUAACUGGAGGACCGAACCGACUAAUGUUGAAAAAUUAGCGGAUGACCUGUGGCUGGGGGUGAAAGGCCAAUCAAACCGGGAGAUAGCUGGUUCUCCCCGAAAGCUAUUUAGGUAGCGCCUCGUGAAUUCAUCUCCGGGGGUAGAGCACUGUUUCGGCUAGGGGGCCAUCCCGGCUUACCAACCCGAUGCAAACUGCGAAUACCGGAGAAUGUUAUCACGGGAGACACACGGCGGGUGCUAACGUCCGUCGUGAAGAGGGAAACAACCCAGACCGCCAGCUAAGGUCCCAAAGUCAUGGUUAAGUGGGAAACGAUGUGGGAAGGCCCAGACAGCCAGGAUGUUGGCUUAGAAGCAGCCAUCAUUUAAAGAAAGCGUAAUAGCUCACUGGUCGAGUCGGCCUGCGCGGAAGAUGUAACGGGGCUAAACCAUGCACCGAAGCUGCGGCAGCGACGUUUAUGCGUUGUUGGGUAGGGGAGCGUUCUGUAAGCCUGCGAAGGUGGCCUGUGAGGGUUGCUGGAGGUAUCAGAAGUGCGAAUGCUGACAUAAGUAACGAUAAAGCGGGUGAAAAGCCCGCUCGCCGGAAGACCAAGGGUUCCUGUCCAACGUUAAUCGGGGCAGGGUGAGUCGACCCCUAAGGCGAGGCCGAAAGGCGUAGUCGAUGGGAAACGGGUUAAUAUUCCCGUACUUGGUGUUACUGCGAAGGGGGGACGGAGAAGGCUAUGUUGGCCGGGCGACGGUUGUCCCGGUUUAAGCGUGUAGGCUGGUUUUCCAGGCAAAUCCGGAAAAUCAAGGCUGAGGCGUGACGACGAGGCACUACGGUGCUGAAGCAACAAAUGCCCUGCUUCCAGGAAAAGCCUCUAAGCAUCAGGUAACAUCAAAUCGUACCCCAAACCGACACAGGUGGUCAGGUAGAGAAUACCAAGGCGCUUGAGAGAACUCGGGUGAAGGAACUAGGCAAAAUGGUGCCGUAACUUCGGGAGAAGGCACGCUGACACGUAGGUGAAGUGAUUUACUCAUGGAGCUGAAGUCAGUCGAAGAUACCAGCUGGCUGCAACUGUUUAUUAAAAACACAGCACUGUGCAAACACGAAAGUGGACGUAUACGGUGUGACGCCUGCCCGGUGCCGGAAGGUUAAUUGAUGGGGUCAGCGCAAGCGAAGCUCCUGAUCGAAGCCCCGGUAAACGGCGGCCGUAACUAUAACGGUCCUAAGGUAGCGAAAUUCCUUGUCGGGUAAGUUCCGACCUGCACGAAUGGCGUAAUGAUGGCCAGGCUGUCUCCACCCGAGACUCAGUGAAAUUGAACUCGCUGUGAAGAUGCAGUGUACCCGCGGCAAGACGGAAAGACCCCGUGAACCUUUACUAUAGCUUGACACUGAACAUUGAGCCUUGAUGUGUAG
This 1761-nucleotide ribosomal RNA is filed under the name Salmonella enterica subsp. enterica serovar Bareilly. Its description in RNAcentral is "partial 23S ribosomal RNA". It matches the Rfam family "Bacterial large subunit ribosomal RNA", at positions 395 to 2141 of the family's 2925-position model. Lineage: Bacteria; Pseudomonadati; Pseudomonadota; Gammaproteobacteria; Enterobacterales; Enterobacteriaceae. The record is from RNAcentral.